This 80-nucleotide transfer RNA is filed under the name Wolfiporia cocos MD-104 SS10. Its description in RNAcentral is "Wolfiporia cocos (strain MD-104) (brown rot fungus) tRNA". It matches the Rfam family "tRNA". From Rfam's summary of the family: Transfer RNA (tRNA) molecules are approximately 80 nucleotides in length. Lineage: Eukaryota; Fungi; Basidiomycota; Agaricomycetes; Polyporales; Phaeolaceae. The record is from Rfam by way of RNAcentral.
UCCGAUAUGGUGUAGUGGCUAACAUUAUCGCCUCUCAUGUUUGAACGCGAUAGCCCGGGGUUCGAUUCCCCGUGUCGGAA